AAAACAAUGUAUAUUUUCUACCAUUAUAGUUGCGAGUUAUAAAUAUGCCGUCAAAUAAUACGAAGGUGACACCAGAAGAGGCGCACCUACGCAAGGUGCUCGGUUUGCCAUCAAAGAUAAAUGUACGACUGCAAUCAGUCCAGUUACCGGGCAAUGAGCGUAUCCAUGUCAACCCAAUGGUGAAGGGGAAACCCUUGGUGGAAUCCUUCUUUCCUGGCGUCAACAAUUUACACGAUGUAUUCAAACAUGGCAUCAAACUGUCAGAUAAUGGUCCAUGUCUUGGAUAUAGGCCAAGUGGAACCCAGCCUUAUUACUGGGUUACGUAUGAACACGUUUAUGACAGAGCAAAGAGGUUUGGAGCAGGGUUAAUUUCCACGGGAUGCCCCGUAGGACAGAACUCACACAUUGGGAUUUAUUCACAGAACAGAAUCGGCUGGAACAUAACGGAACAGGCCUGCUAUAUGUAUUCUAUGGUAACUGUAGCACUGUAUGACACUCUUGGAAUCGAGGCAUGCACUCAUAUAAUCAAUCAGUGCGAGAUGACAACUGUUAUUUGUGACGUUGUUAAGAAGGCACACACACUGCUGGAUGUUGUGGAUAAGACGCCUUCGUUAAAACGCAUAGUGGUCAUGGACAGGUUCUCCGACGAGGAUGUACAGGCCGCAAAACAGAAACAGGUUGAACUGCUGGCUUUUCGCGAUGUUGAGAUACAGGGAGAAAACAAUCCACAUGAUUUGAAGUGCCCAUCGCCAGAAGAUACUGCUACUAUAUGUUACACUAGUGGUACGACAGGCCUACCUAAGGGUGCUAUCCUAACUCACAGUAAUUAUUUGGCCGUGAUUUCUGCGUGGAUGACAAUGAAAGGGGUGGACGUGGUUUAUUCGCCCAGUGAUGUCUACAUUUCGUACCUUCCGUUAGCACACGUCUAUGAACGUUUUGUCCAGGCAGUUCUGUUCUUACAUGGCUGUAAAAUUGGUUAUUUUCGAGGAGAUGUUAAAACUUUGAUGGAUGACAUAAAAGAGUUAAGACCGACGUUUUUAUGUCUGGUGCCAAGGUUGAUGAACAGAAUAUACGACAAGAUUAUGAGUGGCGUUGCUGCUAAAAGCUGGUUAGUAAGACGACUAUUUUUCUUUGCCUUAAAAAGAAAAGAAAUGGAACUACAAAAAGGAAUUAUCCGAAAUAACGGCAUCUGGGAUUCCUUUUUUAAAAAAAUGCGGCAAAGUCUUGGUGGACGCGUAAAAACUAUCACUUCCGGAGCAGCACCAAUUUCACCCCAAAUAAUGACAUUUUGUCGAGCUGUGUUCGGCUGUAUUAUAAUGGAAGGGUAUGGACAGACAGAAUGUACCUGUGUUACAUCGAUUUCACUGCCCACUGAUACUUCUGCUGGUCACGUGGGUUGUAUCGUCCCUUGUUUUGAGGUCAAGUUGGAAGAUGUCCCAGAAAUGGAAUAUUUUGCUGCAAAGAACCAGGGAGAGAUAUGCAUGAGGGGCCCUGGCGUAUUCAAAGGGUACUACAAAGAUCCCGCUAAGACUGCCGAAACAAUUGACAAAAAUGGCUGGCUGCACUCUGGAGAUAUUGGACAAUGGCUUUCGCGUGGCGAGCUUAAAGUCAUAGACAGAAAGAAACAUAUUUUCAAACUAGCCCAGGGAGAGUACAUCGCUCCAGAGAAAAUAGAGAAUGUCUACAUUAAAUCGAAAAUUCUCCCAGAAGUACUAACACACGAUAUGUUUUAAUUCCAGUCGUGCUUAGUUGGAAUCGUUGUACCUGAUGUUGAAACCAUGCCUCGAUGGGCGGAGUCGCGUGGUAUCACGGGAUCUUUUGAGACAUUGUGUACGAAUGGGGUAGUGAAACAAGGCAUUUUGGCGAGUAUGGUAGAUAUUGGCAAAGAGAGUGGCCUUAAAUCUUUUGAACAGGUUAAGGAUAUAUUUCUGACAAGUGAGAUGUUCUCGGUAGAAAACGAGCUUUUGACGCCAACCCUUAAAUCUAAAAGAUCUGUAAUGAAAAAACAUUUCGCUGACCAAAUUGCCGAUAUGUAUGCCAAGUUAAACUGAUGGAUGAAUUGUACUGAUGCUGGCAGUGUAACCAAUGCUAGCCUUGACCAACUUUACGAUGAAUUAUCAUAUCCGUGUCGUCUUGCUUCGCAAAUUGCGUUGCGCUUUUAUGAAGAAAGCUUUCGUUGUAUGUUGUUGUACUCUACCAAGUUUAAAUGUGGCGAAAUGCUGGAGUACAAGUGUGCUAGCAUAUAGUACACCUCAUACGUACCAAGCCAACUCUGUCAUUUUAUAUAUUUAUGGUGUUGUCUAAUUGUCUAUUUGUAUAAUUAUAAGCUUGUCGUGUAAACGAUAUAUGAAUCGGGGACAUCAGGGAAACUAUAUUAUAAUAUCUCAGUGGUGAAUUUUAUUUUUAUAAUAUUUCAGUGAUACAUUUUACUCUCGUAUUUUUUUUUAUUUCAUGUGAAACUUACAAACUAAAAUUUUAAACUAUUUUGUAUAUAUGUAUGGUCGAUUUUUGUUAUAAUAUUCGUUCAACUGUGCUAACACAUUUACUAUCUGAAUCUUGAAUAAUUCUGUAUUUUUAUACUGUCCAUU
Saccoglossus kowalevskii is the source of this 2588-nucleotide non-coding RNA. NCBI's taxonomy places the organism in Eukaryota, Metazoa, Hemichordata, Enteropneusta, Harrimaniidae. The record is from RefSeq and is a predicted model, not a curated record.